UACAGAGGGUGCGAGCGUUAAUCGGAAUUGCUGGGCGUAAAGCGCACGUAGGCGGCUUUGCAAGUCGGGUGUGAAAUCCCCGGGCUCAACCUGGGAACUGCAUUCGAGACUGCAUUGCUCGAGUAUGGGAGAGGGAAGUGGAAUUUCCGGUGUAGCGGUGAAAUGCGUAGAUAUCGGAAGGAACAUCAGUGGCGAAGGCGACUUCCUGGACCAAUACUGACGCUCAGGUGCGAAAGCGUGGGGAGCAAACAGG
This 253-nucleotide ribosomal RNA is filed under the name uncultured bacterium. RNAcentral describes it as "partial 16S ribosomal RNA". It matches the Rfam family "Bacterial small subunit ribosomal RNA", at positions 524 to 776 of the family's 1533-position model. The record is from RNAcentral.